UACAUCUUAGUACUUCCAGGAUGGAUGGCAAACUUUGAGUUAUGAGCCUCUGUCAUAAUAUCCCUUUUAACCUCACUGUCACAUGGAACACAUACCAUAUCUUGAAAUCUAAGCAACCGAUCGGCAGAGACUCAAAAUUUAGGAUUUACUCCAUGUUCUGCAUCUUUCUUGAGGGCUGAUAUGGUAGAAUCAGCGGAUUGGGCUUCCUUUAUUCUCUAGAUCAACUCAGGUUGAACAGUCAGGUGGGUCAAGCAUGUAACUCUCGUCAGGUCCUGAAGUCGUACCUGUUGUGCGACCCUUAUUACUCUACAUUCUGAAACCAUUAAGUGAUAUACCUAUACUUUUUCUACUAAGUGCAUUGGCUACCAUGUUAUCUUUACUUGGGUGAUACAAGGUGUUGCAAUCGUAGUCAUUGAGGAGUUCUAUCUAUCUUCUCUAACGCAUGUUGAGAUCUUUUUGAAUGAAUAUAUGUUCAAGCUCUUAUAGUAGGUAAAGAUCUGAAAAGUCUCCCCAUACAAGUAAUGACAUCAAGGCUUCAAGGCAUGAAUAAUCGUGGCA
Molecule: long non-coding RNA, 558 nt
Filed under: Carica papaya (papaya)
Lineage: Eukaryota; Viridiplantae; Streptophyta; Magnoliopsida; Brassicales; Caricaceae
Description: long non-coding RNA (CPAP_LNC008466)
Source: RNAcentral